This 3607-nucleotide long non-coding RNA is filed under the name Sus scrofa (pig). RNAcentral describes it as "lncRNA (ENSSSCG00060032535.1)". Lineage: Eukaryota; Metazoa; Chordata; Mammalia; Artiodactyla; Suidae. The record is from RNAcentral.
AUGCAAAUAGUACGACACUCUGAACAGACACUAAAAACAGUUCUCAUCUCAAAGAACCCAGCGCUGGUGGCACAGUACGAGAAGUUAGAUGCUGGGGAACGGCGUUUGAUGAACGAAGCCUUCCUGCCAAACAGUGAUCUCUUUGGACCCAUUACUUUGCAUUCGAAGUCAGAUUGGAUAAACUCCCACCCUGAGGCUCCCCAGGACUUUGAAGAGUUUUUCAAUGAUCCUUACAGAAAGACACCCUCUGCAGAGAAGCACAGUAUUUAUAUACAGUGCAUUGGAUCUCUUGGAAACACAAGGAGUGUCAGUGAAGAAUAUGUUAAAUGGCUCAAAGGCUACUGUGAAGCAUUUUUCUACGGCUUGACAGUGAAACUCCUAGAACCAGUUCCUGUCUCUGCCACCAAGUGUUCAUUUAGAAUCAACGAUGANNNNNNNNNNNNNNNNNNNNNNNNNNGGCAGAUCCUGAAGUUCUUAAAAAAGAGGAAACCUGAAGAUGCCUUUUGUGUUGUGGGAAUAACAAUGAUUGAUCUCUAUCCAAGAGACUCCUGGAAUUUCGUCUUCGGACAGGCCUCUUUGACAGAUGGUGUGGGGAUAUUCAGCUUUGCCAGGUAUGGCCGUGAUUUCUAUAGCUCCCACUAUGAAGGCAAGGUGAAGAAGCUGCGGAAGAAAUCCUCGAGUGACUAUUCAGUUUUUGACAACUAUUACAUUCCUGAAGUCACUAGUGUUUUGCUGCUUCGGUCCUGUAAGACUUUAACCCACGAGAUUGGGCACAUCUUCGGACUUCGGCACUGCCAGUGGCUUGCCUGCCUCAUGCAAGGUUCCAACCACUUGGAAGAAGCUGACCGGCGCCCCCUCAACCUUUGCCCUGUCUGUUUACGCAAGCUGCAGAGCGCUAUUGGCUUCAGCCUUAAAGAAAGAUACCGAGCGCUGGUGAGGUGGAUUGACGAUGAAUCCACCGACACACCUAGAGUUACUCCGAGACACAGUCGCGAGGAUAACGUGAACCUGCCCAAACCUGUGGAAGCCUUUAAGGAGUGGAAAGAGUGGCUAACCCAGUGCCUUGCUCUUCUCCACACAUAAGCACCCUCUCAUAGGAGUAAUUAAAAGAAAUAGCUGCACGUUACUCUUGCAUUUGGGCGGCGUAGUUCAUUGGAAUAAACUGUUGAGUCUGAUCCUGCGUGGUGUCAGAGUAACGGAAUGGAACUUUUUUUUUUUAAGCACCUGAACUUUGGGGUUCGCUAGUGGCACCGCAGCUUGGAGUGGCUGCUGUGGUGUGGGUUUGAUUCCUGGCCCAGAAACAUGCAUAUGCCACGGGCAAGGCCGAAAAAACCUCCACCUGAACAUUGAAAUGAAGUUCAUUUUGAAUGAUAAAAACUCAAAACUCCGAGUUCCCGUGGUGGCCCAGUGGUAAUGAAUCUGACUAGUAUCUGGGAGGACUCGGGUUCGAUCCCUGGCCUUUGCUCACUGGGUUAAGGAUUUGGUGUUGCUGUGAGCUGUGGUGUAGGUCACAGAUGUGGCUCGGAUCUGGCGUUGCUGUGGCUGUGGCGUAGGCCAGCAGCUGCAGCUCCAAUUUGACCCCUUGCCUGGGAACCUACAUAUGCCGAGGUGCAGCCCUGAAAAGCAAAACAAAAAACAAAACGAAACCCCUCAAAACUCUCUUCUUCGCGGCCUGGUCUGAGGCAACAAGCUCAUCGUUUCCAUUCUUCAAAUAUAUUUAUGUCUCAUGAGACAGUUAAGACCAGCAGUAACUCGUCAGUAAACCAGUCCUGCAAAAAUAGCUGUUUAUGUCCUAAGAAAGGAUUUCCAAGGAACAUAAUUUCCAGGGGAUGUUUUCUGGUUCAGUUUUUAGAAAGAGGUGGGACUCAGCCAAGUCACUUUGUCCAUUCCCAUCCCUUCUGCAUUUCUCUAGGCCUGUCCACCCUCUGGACUGCCUUCUCUCUCUCUUUAUUUUUUUCUUCCUUUGCUGAUUGUUAGCUUAUCCCUCUAAGAAACAGCAGCUCACUUUAGUUUUUUUUAUCAGCUUAACCUUUGAAUAUUUGCAAGUGAAAAUGAUAGUGGAACGACACACGCCUUUGGGGACAUGGCAGCUUUCUGCUUUUACAGACAUGUUCCUUGGUGGAGGGUCUUGCACAAAAUUUGUUGUCAUUGUUACCCAGUCCAAGCUUAUACCACUCAACAGCACGAUGGGCCAAUACUUCGAGAGAUGAGUGGUUGGGGCAAGGAACAGCAACUUUAUCCAGAAAGCCAGCAGGCUGAGAAGACGGUAGACCAGCAUCCCAAAGGACCAUCCUAUCCAAGUUGGAAUUCUGGCUUCUUUUACACUAAAAGGGGAGACGUUGUGGUUGGUUGGCGCCAUUCUUUGUUCUUACAGCUGUUCCACUCAGGUCAGGUCAUGAGGUUCCCGUAAAGGGCCCACGAGAUAAAUGUUCUUCUCUGUUCUGUAACUUUUUAUAUGACUGGUAAAGUGUUAUGCCUGUAAAGGUCAGAGCCAGGAGAAUGGGCUCUCCUGUAUAUUUCAGGCCACAGGCAACAUUCUUGCAGCAAAAGCAAUAGAAUACAAGGGUUAAAGUAAAAGAAACGCCCAUAUUUGUCCUUCAGUAUUACACAGUGGUCCUAUCUAUGAGAGUUGUGCUUUUCCUGUAGGUUUAUUAGGGUUCAUUCCAGGUGUUAGGUUUAUUUCUACAAAAUAUCUUCCUCACUCCUUUCCUUUAAGCCUUUACUUGAGAUGGAGAGAGCUGUGAUGGGGGUACCUGUGGGUGUGCUGAGAAUCCCCAGUCAGUCUGUGACUAUCACCCGGAUUUCCAUAGCUGGAACGGGUUGAAAACCUCAGACCCGAUGGGCUGCCUCUGCCGGGUCCGUGUGUGCUGGCGAUCUCAAAGAGCACCUUGUAUGGCUGCAUGCUGGGCAGACGGCACGUCCCACUUCCCAUUUCACCUUGAAGAUGAAACUAAAGGUAAAUUUUUCAAAACUUUGAUACCUAAAUUCUUUCACUUAUUAUUUAUGUAAUAUGAUUUAAAGCUCAUUUCAUUACGGAAUCACCAGUUUCCCUUACAUUCACUCUCUACAAAAUUAAACCUCCUUCAGUCAUUUAGAACAUGGUGAUUGGCCAUUAAAACUAAUCAGAGUGGACAGUUGGUCAUUCUAAUACUGAAAAGAGAACCCAGUGCUGUGUGGACUUUGAUGGAUUCUGUUGGGGUUUUAUUUCCUCCUUGGGUGAUGUGUUUUUAACUAUUCUCGAUUCUGUUCAGUUUUUUGUUUUCCUACUGGGUAAGCACAGCUUUAGUCCUAUAUGUCAGGAUGAGUGACAAACCUAAAAGAAUUCCGAUUUGGUUAAGUGUGUAAUUUGGGGUGACAAUUAUUUGGUCAAGAAAUAAGUCCAUUUGUACCUACCCUGCACUGAGACCAGGAAAAAAAAAAAAAAAGUCUAUUGCAACAAACCAUUCACUCCUGUUAAAAGUUGGACAAGCCUUAAGUUUUAGGUAACAGGCAUUUUUCUGCAGUCAUCACUUAAGCGGCGUGUAUAACUAAUUAUUGCCUUAGGAACAUUUCUUAGGGUUAAGGUCAAAAAUAUAAUUCGGUUACUACAAUAAAUCUUUGUACUUUU